UUUGGCUAUAAAAAUUACGAGGUAGUUGACAAAAAACGAGUUGCAAUUUGCAAAACAUGCUGGUCGAAGAUUACAGACGGAGCUGCCACAACGUCCAACUUUGUUCGCCACCUGAAGUUGCACAAAGAAAGGUGGUGUUUUCUGUGUUGAGCUCACUCAACCUUCAUCUAUGGUUGUGAAA
Carassius auratus (goldfish) is the source of this 181-nucleotide long non-coding RNA. RefSeq lists it as uncharacterized. The transcript has 2 exons. The record is from RefSeq and is a predicted model, not a curated record. Lineage: Eukaryota; Metazoa; Chordata; Actinopteri; Cypriniformes; Cyprinidae.